RNAcentral lists this ribosomal RNA (1337 nucleotides) under marine bacterium BPY-W4. RNAcentral's name for it is "bacterial SSU rRNA". It matches the Rfam family "Bacterial small subunit ribosomal RNA". The record is from RNAcentral.
AUUUGGCGGCAGGCCUACACUGCAGUCAAGCGCUCACUUCGGUGGGAGCGGCGGACGGGUUAGUAACGCGUGGGAACGUACCCAGUUCUAAGGGAUAGCCACUGGAAACGGUGAGUAAUACCUUAUACGCCCUUCGGGGGAAAGAUUUAUCGGAAUUGGAUCGGCCCGCGUUAGAUUAGAUAGUUGGUGGGGUAAUGGCCUACCAAGUCUACGAUCUAUAGCUGGUUUUAGAGGAUGAUCAGCAACACUGGGACUGAGACACGGCCCAUACUCCUACGGGGAGGCAGCACGUGGGGAAUCUUAUACCAUGGGCGCAAGCCUGAUCUACCAUGCCGCGUGAGUGAAUGAAGGCCCUAGGGUCGUAAAGCCUCUUUCGCCCAGGGAAUGAUAAUUGAACGGUCCCCUGGUUAAAGAAACCCCGGGCUUAACUCCCGUGCCCAACCAGGCCCCCGGGUUAUUCCCGGAAGGGGGGGUUAGCGUUGUCGGAAUUACUGGGCGUAAAGCGCCGUAGGCGGAUCAGAAAGUUAGGGGUGAAAUCCCAGGGCUCAACCCUGGAACUGCCUCUAAAACUCCUGGUCUUGAGUUCGAGAGAGGUGAGUGGAAUUCCGAGUGUAGAGGUGAAAUUCGUAGAUAUUCGGAGGAACACCAGUGGCGAAGGCGGCUCACUGGCUCGAUACUGACGCUGAGGUGCGAAAGUGUGGGGAGCAAACAGGAUUAGAUACCCUGGUAGUCCACACCGUAAACGAUGAAUGCCAGUCGUCGGGUAGCAUGCUAUUCGGUGACACACCUAACGGAUUAAGCAUUCCGCCUGGGGAGUACGGUCGCAAGAUUAAAACUCAAAGGAAUUGACGGGGGCCCGCACAAGCGGUGGAGCAUGUGGUUUAAUUCGAAGCAACGCGCAGAACUUACCAACCCUUGACAUCCUAGGACAACUCCAGAGAUGGAGCCUUCCUUCGGGACCUAGUGACAGGUGCUGCAUGGCUGUUGUCAGCUCGUGUCGUGAGAUGUUCGGUUAAGUCCGGCAACGAGCGCAACCCACAUCCCUAGUUGCCAGCAGUUCGGCUGGGCACUUUUAUGGAAACUGCCCGUGAUAAGCGGGAGGAAGGUGUGGAUGACGUCAAGUCCUCAUGGCCCUUACGGGUUGGGCUACACACGUGCUACAAUGGUGGUGACAAUGGGUUAAUCCCCUAAAGCCAUUCUCAGUUCGGAUUGUUGUCUGCAACUGGACGGCAUGAAGUCGGAAUAGUUAGUAAUCGCGUAACAGCAUGAGGCAGUGAAUACUUCCCCNGGGCCUUUGUUCACACCGNCCGUCACANCAUUGGGAANUUGGGUUCCCC